This 158-nucleotide non-coding RNA is filed under the name Drosophila sechellia. RNAcentral's name for it is "Eukaryotic large subunit ribosomal RNA". It matches the Rfam family "Eukaryotic large subunit ribosomal RNA", at positions 1 to 153 of the family's 3401-position model. The record is from Rfam by way of RNAcentral. Lineage: Eukaryota; Metazoa; Arthropoda; Insecta; Diptera; Drosophilidae.
CAACCUCAACUCAUAUGGGACUACCCCCUGAAUUUAAGCAUAUUAAUUAGGGGAGGAAAAGAAACUAACAAGGAUUUUCUUAGUAGCGGCGAGCGAAAAGAAAACAGUUCAGCACGUAAGUCACUUUGUCUAUAUGGCAAAUGUGAGAUGCAGUGUAU